ACACCUAAACAAGUAGUGUGUACACAAGGAAGGUUUUUCCUGGGUAAUUUAGUUUCCAUUUGCCCUCCGUCGGCUCUACUCUGUUCGUAGCACUAGCGACUGGUCCCAUUCGUGUCGACGCCCUGUUCGCGUGACCAUCGCUCAAGUUCUCCGCUGCAGGCCCCUCCGCUGUUGUUGGUCGCACUCCGCAACCCCUCAAAACAUUUGUUAGCAUUAACAGCAUUCGAAGCAAUCCAUUUGGGUGAUUUUUGAAACCUAAACAAGUGGUGCGUACACAAGGAAGCCUUUUUGAGGGUUACGUUUUUUCUAAUUCUCAGUGUUUGCAAAAGACAAAGAAUUUCUGCAUUUUUCCUGGCUAGUUUAGUUUCCAUCAUCAGGAAAUUUGAGGUAAAGGGUUUCAUGAUUUUGGAGUCGCAACAUCGGAUUGUUGAGGCGUUUGUCAAGGCCAUUGCAGAGAAGAAGAAGAAGAAGAUUGUCGUCGCCUGAAUAGCCUUAAUGAUCAAACAUAACCCAGUGGGAGCUCAGAUGCAGAGAACGUGAAGUCAGAUUGAGCAAGUAGUCUAAGCUUCUAUUUUAUAGAGGUGAUGCUGGUGGGGCAUUUGGGGAACUUUAGAUUGUUAAACACAAAAUAUGGUUACUUGAAGCAAGCAAUGCAGAGCUACAACGGGAGCUUAAAGAAAGUCGAGUUACUUGUGAGAGUUUAUGACAACGUGGUUGUGAUGCUCAGGACCACUACUUUUGAAUGUAUUAGUGAUGGAAGAGCAUGGACCAAAGGUCCAACCACUCGAGCUAUGUCCAGAAGAUUACUUGAAAAUUUGACUGCUUCAAAGCUUAGUGGGCUUAAUGGGCUUGGUGGGCCUAGUGUGACACCCUUAUUACCCCAAUACAUAUUGUAAUUAUAAUGUAAAUAAACUAAGAAAAUAAAUUUUUUUCAACAUUGGUAAAAUGGUUCACAUAAAAACCUUCACAAAUGUUCUUCAAUAUCCAAAAUGAUUGAAAAUGAACAUUGGAAAAUAAAACAUAAGAGUUUACAAAUUGUUUUUAAAAUAAUAAAUACAA
Molecule: non-coding RNA, 1059 nt
Organism: Cajanus cajan (pigeon pea)
Lineage: Eukaryota; Viridiplantae; Streptophyta; Magnoliopsida; Fabales; Fabaceae
Source: RefSeq, a predicted model, not a curated record